UGCGCAGGCGGCUUAUUAAGUCAGGGGUGAAAUAUGACGGCUCAACCGUCAAACUGCCCCUGAAACUGAUGAGCUUGAGUUCGAGAGAGGUAGGUGGAAUUCCAGGUGUAGCGGUGAAAUGCGUAAAUAUCUGGAGGAACACCGGUGGCGAAGGCGGCCUACUGGCUCGAUACUGACGCUCAGGCACGAAAGCAUGGGGAGCGAACAGGAUUAGAUACCCUGGUAGUCC
This 229-nucleotide ribosomal RNA is filed under the name uncultured bacterium. RNAcentral describes it as "partial 16S ribosomal RNA". It matches the Rfam family "Bacterial small subunit ribosomal RNA", at positions 568 to 796 of the family's 1533-position model. The record is from RNAcentral.